GACGAACGCUGGCGGCGUGCCUAAUACAUGCAAGUCGAACGCUGCAGAGAGGAGCUUGCGCUUCCUGGAUGAGAUGCGAACGGGUGAGUCACGCGUAGUUAACCUGCCUUGUCGCGGGGGAUAACAAUUCGAAACGAUAUCUAAUACCGCAUAACAAUUGAUGACACAUGUCAUCUACUUGAAAGGGGCAAUUGCUCCACUACAAGACCGACCUGCGUUGUAUUAGCUAGUUGGUGAGUUAAUGUCUCACCUAGGCGACGAUACGUAGCCGACCGGAGAGGGGGAGCGCCAACACUGGUACUGAGACACGGCCCAGACUACUGCGAGAGGCAGCAGUAGGGAACUUUCGGGAAUGGGAGCAACGCUGACUGAGCGACGCCGGGUGAGAGAAGAAGGUUGUCGGAUCGUGAAGGUCUGUUGUAAGUCAAGGACGGGUGUGAGAGUGGAAAGUUCAGACAGUGACGGUAGCUGAAGAGAAAGGGACGGCUAACUACGUG
This 497-nucleotide ribosomal RNA is filed under the name uncultured bacterium. Its description in RNAcentral is "partial 16S ribosomal RNA". It matches the Rfam family "Bacterial small subunit ribosomal RNA", at positions 28 to 507 of the family's 1533-position model. The record is from RNAcentral.